This 106-nucleotide small nuclear RNA is filed under the name Canis lupus familiaris (dog). The record is from RNAcentral. Lineage: Eukaryota; Metazoa; Chordata; Mammalia; Carnivora; Canidae. RNAcentral also lists the same sequence under 2 other names.
GGGCUCACUUUGGCAGCACAUAUACUAAAAUUGGAAUGAUGCAGAGAAGAUUAGCAUGGCCCCUGUGAAGGAUGACAUGCAAAUUCAUGAAGCAUUCCAUAUUAAA